Molecule: ribosomal RNA, 465 nt
Filed under: uncultured bacterium
Lineage: Bacteria
Description: partial 16S ribosomal RNA
Rfam family: Bacterial small subunit ribosomal RNA
Source: RNAcentral
GACGAACGCUGGCGGCGUGCUUAACACAUGCAAGUCGAACGGAAAGGCCCUGCUUGCCGGGUACUCGAGUGGCGAACGGGUGAGUAACACGUGGGUGAUCUGCCCUGCACUUCGGGAUAAGCUUGGGAAACUGGGUCUAAUACCGGAUAGGAGCCAUCUUUAGUGUGGUGGUUGGAAAGUUUUUUCGGUGUAGGAUGAGCUCGCGGCCUAUCAGCUUGUUGGUGGGGUAAUGGCCUACCAAGGCGGCGACGGGUAGCCGGCCUGAGAGGGUGUACGGCCACAUUGGGACUGAGAUACGGCCCAGACUCCUACGGGAGGCAGCAGUGGGGAAUAUUGCACAAUGGGCGCAAGCCUGAUGCAGCGACGCCGCGUGGGGGAUGAAGGCCUUCGGGUUGUAAACGCCUGUCGCUAGGGACGAAGCUUUUUGUGACGGUACCUAGAUAAGAAGCACCGGCUAACUACGUG